CCUACGGGAGGCAGCAGUGGGAAAUAUUGCGCAAUGGGCGAAAGCCUGACGCAGCGACGCCGCGUGAGGGAUGAAGGUCUUCGGAUCGUUAACCUCUGUCAGCAGGGAAGAACGGUCACUGUGCUAAUCAGCAGUGAAUUGACGGUAACUGCAAAGGAAGCACCGGCUAACUCCGUGCCAGCAGCCGCGGUGAUACGGAGGGUGCGAGCGUUAAUCGGAAUUACUGGGCGUAAAGCGCUCGUAGGCGGUAUGUCAAGUCAAGGGGUAAAUCCCCGCGGUCAACGUGGGAACUGCCGUUGAAACUGGCAAACUUGAGUGUGUGAGAGGAUAGUGGAAUGCCAGGUGUAGGAGUGAAAUCCGUAGAUAUCUGGAGGAACAUCAGUGGCGAAGGCGACUAUCUGGCACAUAACUGACGCUGAGGAGCGAAAGCGUGGGUAGCAAACAGGAUUAGAUACCCUGGUAGUC
Molecule: ribosomal RNA, 465 nt
Filed under: uncultured bacterium
Lineage: Bacteria
Description: partial 16S ribosomal RNA
Rfam family: Bacterial small subunit ribosomal RNA
Source: RNAcentral